GAAAAAGACUGCUAGUUGGUGUCCUUUUCUUCCCUUACCUCUUCCUGUAUGUCCCUCUGGAAGCUGCACACUCUAUCGAAGAUGACCUUCCCUGAGUAGAGAAGGACCAAUCUUCAGUCCAGGGUAUAUGAGAAGUUACUAGUCCCCUAUUAGAACCUCCAAACAAGCUAUCAAGGAUUAACGGUUUUACAACUAUUUCUUUACUAUUCUCUGGAUUUCCUCAGUGUCUGUUGUAAUGUCC
RNAcentral lists this small nuclear RNA (241 nucleotides) under Microtus ochrogaster (prairie vole). RNAcentral's name for it is "7SK RNA (ENSMOCG00000005697.1)". It matches the Rfam family "7SK RNA", at positions 64 to 331 of the family's 331-position model. From Rfam's summary of the family: 7SK was discovered as an abundant small nuclear RNA in the mid-70s but a possible function has only recently been suggested. The record is from RNAcentral. Lineage: Eukaryota; Metazoa; Chordata; Mammalia; Rodentia; Cricetidae.